GAAAUGCGAUAAGUAAUGUGAAUUGCAGAAUUCAGUGAAUCAUCGAAUCUUUGAACGCACAUUGCGCCCGCCAGUAUUCUGGCGGGCAUGCCUGUUCGAGCGUCAUUUCAACCAUCAAGCCCCCGGGCUUGUGUUGGGGACCUGCGGCCGCCGCAGGCCCCUAAAUACAGUGGCGGGCUCGCUAUCACACCGAGUGCAGUAGUUUUCUUUCUCGCUCAGGGCGUGUAGUGGGUGCUAGCCGUGAAACCCCUUUUUCACAAGGUUGACCUCGGAUCAGGUAGGAAUACCCGCAUCGAUGAAGAACGCA
This 307-nucleotide unclassified non-coding RNA is filed under the name uncultured Sordariales. Its description in RNAcentral is "sequence contains ITS1". The stretch from base 1 to 105 matches the Rfam family "5.8S ribosomal RNA", at positions 50 to 154 of the family's 154-position model. Lineage: Eukaryota; Fungi; Ascomycota; Sordariomycetes; Sordariales. The record is from RNAcentral.